GAUGAACGCUGGCGGCGUGCCUAAUACAUGCAAGUCGAGCGAACAGACGAGGAGCUUGCUCCUCUGACGUUAGCGGCGGACGGGUGAGUAACACGUGGAUAACCUACCUAUAAGACUGGGAUAACUUCGGGAAACCGGAGCUAAUACCGGAUAAUAUAUUGAACCGCAUGGUUCAAUAGUGAAAGACGGUUUUGCUGUCACUUAUAGAUGGAUCCGCGCCGCAUUAGCUAGUUGGUAAGGUAACGGCUUACCAAGGCAACGAUGCGUAUCCGACCUGAGAGGGUGAUCGGCCACACUGGAACUGGGACACGGUCCAGACUCCUACGGGAGGCAGCAGUAGGGAACCUUCCGCAAUGGGCGAAAGCCUGACGGAGCAACGCCGCGUGAGUGAUGAAGGUCUUCGGAUCGUAAAACUCUGUUAUUAGGGAAGAACAAAUGUGUAAGUAACUAUGCACGUCUUGACGGUACCUAAUCAGAAAGCCACGGCUAACUACGUG
RNAcentral lists this ribosomal RNA (497 nucleotides) under uncultured bacterium. RNAcentral's name for it is "partial 16S ribosomal RNA". It matches the Rfam family "Bacterial small subunit ribosomal RNA", at positions 28 to 507 of the family's 1533-position model. The record is from RNAcentral.